RNAcentral lists this unclassified non-coding RNA (20 nucleotides) under Mus musculus (house mouse). RNAcentral's name for it is "oocyte_clustered_small_RNA9089". Lineage: Eukaryota; Metazoa; Chordata; Mammalia; Rodentia; Muridae. The record is from RNAcentral.
AGUCCACAGCUGCCUCUUCC